UUAUUUUCGAAAGAUCUCUCAAGAUCGCUGGAGUUUAUUAUUAUAAUUUUAUCAGAUAUUUGGAAGACAAUGAAUAUAUAUGGAAGAAUAAGGUAGUUUAACAUAUAUAUAUAUAUGUACCUAUAUUUUCAAAGUCUUACUUUUCUAGGUAAUCAUAUAAGAGUUAAAAAAAAAUAUAUCUUAAUAGUAUAUUUUUUUUUUAAUUAUUACUCAAAAAAUGUAUGAAUAGAAUAAGAUAACUCCAAGUGUGCCAUUUUUGGUAAUCAAAAACUGGUGAUGAGGGAUGCUCCUAAUGCUUGGAUAAGGUGCCUAAAUAUUCGCUCAUUAGACUCCUAAAAUAAUAGGUGUUACUUCAUUAUGACAGUAGGACGGUAAUCAUUGAAGUCGAAAUCCGCUAAGGAGUGUGUAACAACUCACCUACCGAAUGAUCUAGCCCUGAAAAUGGAUGGCGCUAAAGUGAAUUACCGAUACCAAGCCAUAAAAAGUGAAAUGGCUUUUGAACAAAGUCGAUCUAACGUUAUUUUUUUUUUUAACAACUUUUUAUGAGUAGAAAAUCGUGGGGUUUAGUAUAGAAGCGAAAUGCGUGAGCAUUCGUGGAACAUAUCCCUAGUG
This 612-nucleotide non-coding RNA is filed under the name Plasmodium gonderi. Its description in RNAcentral is "Eukaryotic large subunit ribosomal RNA". It matches the Rfam family "Eukaryotic large subunit ribosomal RNA", at positions 955 to 1444 of the family's 3401-position model. Lineage: Eukaryota; Apicomplexa; Aconoidasida; Haemosporida; Plasmodiidae. The record is from Rfam by way of RNAcentral.